GAUAAACGCUGGCGGCGUGCCUAACACAUGCAAGUCGAACGCGCUCUUCUCUUCGCAAGAGGGGGGAGUGAGUGGCGGACGGGUGAGUAACACGUGGAUACCUUCCUCUCAGUGAGGAAUACCCCCGAGAAAUCGGGGACAAGACCGCAUAUGCUUGUAAAAGCAAAGUCGCUUCGGUGACGCCUCGAGAUGAGUCUGCGUCCGAUUAGCUAGUUGGUAGGGUAAGAGCUUACCAAGGCGACGAUCGGUAGCUGGUCUGAGAGGAUGAUCAGCCACA
RNAcentral lists this ribosomal RNA (277 nucleotides) under uncultured bacterium. RNAcentral describes it as "partial 16S ribosomal RNA". It matches the Rfam family "Bacterial small subunit ribosomal RNA", at positions 28 to 312 of the family's 1533-position model. The record is from RNAcentral.